CAGUAGCACGGUAAUACGUAGGGUGCAAGCGUUAAUCGGAAUUACUGGGCGUAAAGCGUGCGCAGGCGGUUAUAUAAGACAGAUGUGAAAUCCCCGGGCUCAACCUGGGAACUGCAUUUGUGACUGUAUAGCUAGAGUACGGCAGAGGGGGAUGGAAUUCCGCGUGUAGCAGUGAAAUGCGUAGAUAUGCGGAGGAACACCGAUGGCGAAGGCAAUCCCCUGGGCCUGUACUGACGCUCAUGCACGAAAGCGUGGGGAGCAAACAGGAUUAGAUACCCGGGUAGUCCCUGUCUCUUAUACA
RNAcentral lists this ribosomal RNA (301 nucleotides) under uncultured bacterium. Its description in RNAcentral is "partial 16S ribosomal RNA". It matches the Rfam family "Bacterial small subunit ribosomal RNA", at positions 509 to 808 of the family's 1533-position model. The record is from RNAcentral.